This 72-nucleotide transfer RNA is filed under the name Loxodonta africana (African savanna elephant). It matches the Rfam family "tRNA". Rfam says of the family: Transfer RNA (tRNA) molecules are approximately 80 nucleotides in length. Their secondary structure includes four short double-helical elements and three loops (D, anti-codon, and T loops). The record is from Rfam by way of RNAcentral. Lineage: Eukaryota; Metazoa; Chordata; Mammalia; Proboscidea; Elephantidae.
GCUUUGGUGGUGAAAUGGUUAAGCACUCAGCUGUUAACCGAAAGGUUGGUGGUUCAAACCCACCCGGUGGCU